AUCCUUUUGUAGUUCAUGAGCGUGAUGAUUUGUUUUUCAUGCCUAUGCGUGAGAUAUGCCUCCCACAGAGUUUGCGCGAGGCCAUGGUUGACUACUGACG
Small nucleolar RNA from Nycticebus coucang (slow loris), 100 nucleotides. RefSeq annotates it as small nucleolar RNA U13. The transcript has a single exon. Lineage: Eukaryota; Metazoa; Chordata; Mammalia; Primates; Lorisidae. The record is from RefSeq and is a predicted model, not a curated record.